UUUUGACUUUAUUUCGGCUUUGUUUCAAUGCUAACAUUUUUAUUUCUUUAAUAACACCCAGCUUUAUAUAAAAAUAUUAUUAAAACCGUGAUAACAUUAAUUAUAAUUUUUUUGAUUCCAUUUAUGUAAAUGGUUAUAAAAAAAGACACCUCAAAAAAAAAAUAAAAUAAAAAACAUUAAGUUUUUGAUUUAAAUUUAGUUUUCAAUUUAAAUUAAGUCAUUUUUUUUUUUUUUUUUUUUUAAAUGGAUAAUAAAGAAAAUGAAGAGAAUAGUGAAAAUUCCUUUAACAUUUUAUCUUAUUUUUAUAGUUUUUUAGGACUAGAUUCCGGAAAUAAUAAAACAGAUGAAAAUUUGUUGCCUCAAAAUAAGGACGAAGUAAUAAACCAACACACAUAUAAUGUUGAUCAUAUUGCCUACAAUUUAAAAUUAAGUAGAGCAUCAUUUAGGGAUGUACCGACUCGAUUUAGUAUAAACACUAUGGUUGAACAUAUAAAAGGUACAACAUACAUACGUACACAUACAUAUAUAUAUAUAUAUACAUCUUUAAUCAUGUAAUAAUUAUGAUA
This 566-nucleotide long non-coding RNA is filed under the name Piliocolobus tephrosceles (Ugandan red Colobus). RNAcentral describes it as "lncRNA (ENSPTEG00000024929.1)". Lineage: Eukaryota; Metazoa; Chordata; Mammalia; Primates; Cercopithecidae. The record is from RNAcentral.